This 490-nucleotide ribosomal RNA is filed under the name uncultured bacterium. Its description in RNAcentral is "bacterial SSU rRNA". It matches the Rfam family "Bacterial small subunit ribosomal RNA", at positions 28 to 506 of the family's 1533-position model. The record is from RNAcentral.
GAUGAACGCUAGCGGCAGGCUUAACACAUGCAAGUCGAGGGGCAGCAUGAUUUAACUUUCGGGUUAGAUUGAUGGCGACCGGCGCACGGGUGCGUAACGCGUAUGCAACCUACCCAUAACAGGGGGAUAACACUGAGAAAUUGGUACUAAUACCCCGUAAUAUUGAAGAAGGCAUCUUCUUCAGUUGAAAGUUCCGGCGGUUAUGGAUGGGCAUGCGUUGUAUUAGCUAGUUGGUGAGGUAACGGCUCACCAAGGCGACGAUACAUAGGGGGACUGAGAGGUUAACCCCCCACAUUGGUACUGAGACACGGACCAGACUCCUACGGGAGGCAGCAGUGAGGAAUAUUGGUCAAUGGUCGGAAGACUGAACCAGCCAUGCCGCGUGCAGGAAGAAUGUCUUAUGGAUUGUAAACUGCUUUUGUAUGGGGCUAAUAAUAACUUUGCGAAGUUAGAUGCAGGUACCAUACGAAUAAGGAUCGGCUAACUCCGU